GAGCGGUAACAGAAAGUAGCUUGCUACUUUGCUGACGAGCGGCGGACGGGUGAGUAAUGCUUGGGAACAUGCCUUGAGGUGGGGGACAACAGUUGGAAACGACUGCUAAUACCGCAUAAUGUCUACGGACCAAAGGGGGCUUCGGCUCUCGCCUUUAGAUUGGCCCAAGUGGGAUUAGCUAGUUGGUGAGGUAAUGGCUCACCAAGGCAACGAUCCCUAGCUGGUUUGAGAGGAUGAUCAGCCACACUGGAACUGAGACACGGUCCAGACUCCUACGGGAGGCAGCAGUGGGGAAUAUUGCACAAUGGGCGAAAGCCUGAUGCAGCCAUGCCGCGUGUGUGAAGAAGGCCUUCGGGUUGUAAAGCACUUUCAGUCAGGAGGAAAGGGUGUGAGUUAAUACCUCAUAUCUGUGACGUUACUGACAGAAGAAGCACCGGCUAACUCCGUGCCAGCAGCCGCGGUAAUACGGAGGGUGCGAGCGUUAAUCGGAAUUACUGGGCGUAAAGCGUACGCAGGCGGUUUGUUAAGCGAGAUGUGAAAGCCCCGGGCUCAACCUGGGAACUGCAUUUCGAACUGGCAAACUAGAGUGUGAUAGAGGGUGGUAGAAUUUCAGGUGUAGCGGUGAAAUGCGUAGAGAUCUGAAGGAAUACCGAUGGCGAAGGCAGCCACCUGGGUCAACACUGACGCUCAUGUACGAAAGCGUGGGGAGCAAACGGGAUU
Molecule: ribosomal RNA, 720 nt
Filed under: gamma proteobacterium PM18
Lineage: Bacteria; Pseudomonadati; Pseudomonadota; Gammaproteobacteria
Also listed under: 1 other name
Description: bacterial SSU rRNA
Rfam family: Bacterial small subunit ribosomal RNA
Source: RNAcentral